UGGGCACUCGGGUCAGUCGUCCUGCGGCUCCGAGUCUCCGAGCUCCCGUCUCACACCGGCGACUCGGUCGUCCCUCGGAGCACCUUCCUCACGAAGACUCUGCGAAGUGCUGCUUCCACGACGGAGCCGGAAGGACGCAAGGAUGGCGGUGGGACCGGGCUUCGGCGGAGCUCUCUGUACCUACUUCCACUUCAUCCCCACCUGCCAAGAGCCUGACUGCUACCAAAUUGCCAUGCCAGCAAUUUUCUCAGCCGCUUAAAAGGCCAUCAAGACAGCAUCAAACUGCCUGUACAUGCUAAACCCAAAUGCUUAUGGAGCAGAGCCCAGAGUGGAUGCUAAAUUGGAUUCUAUCAAAUCAACAUCAGCUGCGUGCAAGCCGCUGAUAAUGAAAGGCUCUAACGAUGGUGUUCAUUGCUGUGAAGAGAUGACUUGGAGCUGAGAAUGGAUGUUUGCUUGCUCUUGCUGGGGAGAGAAGGAGGCACUGGGGAGAGGUUGUGUGAUGGACUGUCUCUUGGUGGAUAUUGGAGGGAAGAAAGGAGGAAGGAGGGAGACAGAGGAUUGUCACUCAUUCUUGGAAUGGAGGUGGAUGUAGGAAAGGCUUUCAUACUCUCCUGCCUAUCACACACACACACACACACACACACACGCACGCACGCACGCACGCACGCACGCACGGCCCAGAAAUACAUCAAGAUCAUGAAGGUAGGUCUGGCAAGAUGUGGAGAUAAAGUCUAACUUUGAAUCCAAAAAUAACUCCCACAUCGCUCCCCACACCAUCGGCCCCAUCCCACAAGCUCCUCAGGCCUGAGUGGUAACCACUGUACCUGAAGGAGAGGAAGGAUAGAAGCGUUGGUCUAGGACUUGCUGGAGUCUCUUGGUUUCUAGACCUAGUCUUUCUCCACCUUUGUUCCAGGUUACAUAAGUCUGCUUCUUCCAUCCUCUUGGUAUGUGGAUUAGUUUUCUACAGCUGCUAUAACAAAUUGCUACAGUUAGUGGCUUAAACAACACAAAUUUCUUAUCUUACAGUUUUAAGUUCAGAAUUCUCACAUGGGUUUUGCCAGGUGAAGAUCAAAGUG
This is a long non-coding RNA of Heterocephalus glaber (naked mole-rat), 1076 nucleotides long. Lineage: Eukaryota; Metazoa; Chordata; Mammalia; Rodentia; Bathyergidae. The record is from Ensembl.